RNAcentral lists this microRNA (21 nucleotides) under Gadus morhua (Atlantic cod). RNAcentral's name for it is "gmo-miR-11231-3p". Lineage: Eukaryota; Metazoa; Chordata; Actinopteri; Gadiformes; Gadidae. The record is from miRBase by way of RNAcentral.
UCUGACGGCUAAUCACAAUCA